Molecule: small RNA, 143 nt
Filed under: Salmonella enterica
Lineage: Bacteria; Pseudomonadati; Pseudomonadota; Gammaproteobacteria; Enterobacterales; Enterobacteriaceae
Also listed under: 1 other name
Description: QUAD RNA
Rfam family: Short Intergenic Abundant RNA
About the family: This family contains multiple ncRNA from E. coli that were identified in a large scale screen of E. coli, were they were called candidates 43,55 and 61. These RNAs have also been identified by other groups and called QUAD RNAs.
Source: RNAcentral
UUGACAUUAUUCUUGAUGUGGCUUAACGUCAGGAGUGAGGGUAAGGGAGGAUUCCUCCCCCUGGUGUCUUAGUAAGCUGGUAGGCUAAUCACUAAGAGUAUCACCAGUAUGAUGACUACCUUCAUCAUAACCCUUUCCUUAUU